Podarcis lilfordi (Lilford's wall lizard) is the source of this 75-nucleotide non-coding RNA. NCBI's taxonomy places the organism in Eukaryota, Metazoa, Chordata, Lepidosauria, Squamata, Lacertidae. The record is from the annotation of a GenBank genome assembly.
GCGAUAGGAUAGCUCAGUCAGUAGAGCACAAGACUCUUAAUCUCAGGGCUGUGGGUUCGAGCCCCACGUUGGGCA